AUGCAGCAAAACAGAAAAACAAUGAAAGUCUGUAUUAGUAACCAGAAAAACGGUCAGAAGUCUGAGGUACCUGAGAGAAGACAGAAAAAUGAGAUCUGGAAUUUGAGGAGCACAUGUUAGGAGAAGAGCCAUCUCUACUACUCCCCAAAAGAUUCCCUGUUCUAGUUGGCCUUCUAUAUUGGUGGUUUCUGAAUACAUACCCCAAAGAACUUGAGCAUCAGUGAAUUCUGGUAUCUUCUGGGAGCCCUGGAACUAAUCUCUUGAAGAUACCAAGGGAUGACUGUGUUUUAAAAGGCGAGAGAGAGAUGUCACUCAGGACUGCUUCCAAAGGAGUUUCUCUUGCAGCUUGCUUCACUGUCUGACUCCUUUCAUACAAGUGGGUAACAUGCCCUUCAUUCGGAACCAAACCUGUGCCCUGGCUUGGUAUAUUUCCUCCACCUGCUGAGCACCCCCUCACCCUCUACUUUUACCUGGAAGAAAGAAGACAAUAAUAUCUACCAAUCAAGAUGCUGUACCUGAAGCAGAAGAUAACCUGGCAAAGAAAAGAGUAUAGUGCUGCCUUCAGGGAACUCCUAGUCUAGGGGAAGACAGCCAAUAAUCACAUAACUGCUCUAAUCAAAUAUUUCACCAAAAUAAAGUAUUAGCUACCUCCUAGAA
This is a long non-coding RNA of Gorilla gorilla gorilla (western lowland gorilla), 657 nucleotides long. RefSeq lists it as uncharacterized. The record is from RefSeq and is a predicted model, not a curated record. Lineage: Eukaryota; Metazoa; Chordata; Mammalia; Primates; Hominidae. The transcript is spliced from 5 exons.